RNAcentral lists this small RNA (549 nucleotides) under Caenorhabditis elegans. RNAcentral's name for it is "Unclassified non-coding RNA ZK1010.14". The record is from RNAcentral. Lineage: Eukaryota; Metazoa; Nematoda; Chromadorea; Rhabditida; Rhabditidae.
GAUCGAAUCGUUUCUGAGUUCUCUCGGACAAGCUGUCGGACUCGGAAAUAUCUGGAGAUUCCCAACAACCGCUUAUAAAAAUGGAGGUUUAUCAUUUCUCAUCGCAUACGUUGUAUGUGGAAUACUGUUCGCCGUUCCAGCAAUUCACAUGGAAUUCGCUCUGGGACAGUAUGCAGCCAAGUCGCCGCCUGCGGCCUUUCGAAGAAUGAUGCCUAUUUUGGAAGGAGUCGGAUGGAUGACUUGUCUAGUCGGAGCGAUCAUAGGUGUCUACUAUAUGAUUGUCAUCUCGUGGAUAGUUUUGUACCUUUUCAAUAUAAUAUACGCUACCAAGAUCAGCAAGUGUAAUAAUGAUUGGAACAAGAAUCGAUCGACAAUCUGUUAUGAAGGUGUCAAGCAGAAGUUAUGCAGCGGAUAUAUGCUGAAUAGUUCUCUGGUGAUGACCAAUUUGACUAGAAAUGCGUCAGUGCACAGCAAAAUGAUGUAUAUUGAUGGAAAGUGCCAGAACGCGACAAAUAUGAAGUUGGCAGUCGGGACUGAGCAGUUUUUUAC